RNAcentral lists this transfer RNA (75 nucleotides) under Kyrpidia tusciae. RNAcentral describes it as "tRNA-Glu". It matches the Rfam family "tRNA". From Rfam's summary of the family: Transfer RNA (tRNA) molecules are approximately 80 nucleotides in length. Their secondary structure includes four short double-helical elements and three loops (D, anti-codon, and T loops). RNAcentral also lists the same sequence under 5 other names. The record is from RNAcentral. Lineage: Bacteria; Bacillati; Bacillota; Bacilli; Caryophanales; Alicyclobacillaceae.
GGCCCCAUGGUCAAGUGGUUAAGACACCGCCCUUUCACGGCGGUAACGGGGGUUCGAAUCCCCCUGGGGUCACCA